CAUUAGGGGUUGUGGUGUGUGAGUUCCACCUGAUGUGUUUACAAUUUAGGUUGCCCACCAGAAUGACAGAGCUCCCCAUGCCGAGCAGCGCCUCGAUAUCACUGCUUAGAACGAUCUUAUCCGGUGGAAGAUAAACGGACGCGAUAACGAUCGGCGCGUGUCCCGUCAGUGAGAUUCGGCACACUGAUGCUUCGAUAUUAGCGAGCGCGGGAGGAUCGAGCGGGAUAUAAGUUCUAAGAUCUCAAGUAUAGUUACAACGGCUGCGCCACCCUUCAAACCGAAACGCAUUACUGCUUCACGGCAGAAAUAGGCAGGGUGGUGGUACCCACCCGCGCGGACUCACAAGAGGUCCUACCACAUUUUGUACAGUUACAUAUUGGAAGUAUUAAUUAAAAAAUAUCCCAUAAUUAAAAUUAACGCGAUGAUGUCCUACCGUCACUGAUUUAUUUUGUGGCUAUGUUUGGUGCCACACAGAAGGGAUACGGUCCAAUCAAGAAGUAUUCCAUUAGAAAAGUUGGUACCUGUCAGCGGGAUUCGAACACCGGCACUGUCGCAUCGCUCGAUACGAAUGAACCAGGCGUCUUCUCCUUUAGGCCACGACGACUAUGGUGGCUGGCGGUGUGUUCCCAAAAGCCUUUUUUGCUGGUUCUCGACAAAAGGCCGCCUAACGGGACCGCAACCCGGCGACCGGCUCAAGCACAUCUUGUUCAGUUGCUGCGUGUCGACUUAAAUCUGAUGCAGACUAUCGUACCGGCGGCAUCAGGGCGAGUGCUCAACGUCGUUCAUGGUUGUCAAUAAUACUACUUAGGGGCUAAGCUAAGGCGCAACUACUUCUAACAAGUUACAGCAUCUUAUCGUUUUUUCGAAGAAAGGAAAAAGUAGUAAAUAAGUAAUAAGAUAUCUGAGUUGAUAUGAAGACCACCAGUCUGCCUAUUUCGGCCGCGAAGCUCUCUUACGUUCCAAUAUCAUACCUCAAGUUUGUGGUGUCAGUUAAUUUGCCGAGUAGUAAAAUACGAACACAGACUAUGAAACGGACGCCAUGAUUUUUUACUGUCAACAAAUUCUUCGGCAUACGUAUUCGAAACUUAAAAUGAAUGAAAUCACUUCAAUUAACUUAAAAAUCACAUGUAAAUACAGAAGUGGGAAUGAUUAAAUUAUAUGCAUCGGUUGCUAGCUCGAGGCGUUCCCUCUGGAAUGAAUAUCUCGAUGUCAAAACGACGUCUGAUUUUCCAUCUGACGCAUGUCUAUUUGCACCUACAACUCACAAGAGUGUUUUUGCGAGUAACAAAUCUGGAAAAAUCAACAUCUGCUGUGCCCCAAUACGACUAUUUCAACUCGAAAGGAUAAACGAUGCUCAAUGCUUAGAAGACAAACAAUUAGACAAACAACCCAUAAAUGUAUUCAUUCUGAAUACAGAAGAUAAUGUCACAAAUACAUCAACGUGCAUUGCUGUAUCUGUAGCUAUAAGUACUCUAGACUAUAAUAACUACUGAAGUAUGAAUGCUAAUUGAAGGUAAACACAAAAAAAAAAACACAAUUAUACAUUUAUUUUACCUGUUUGCUGAGUAAAGGAAAAUUGUUUAAUCCA
Bombyx mori (domestic silkworm) is the source of this 1588-nucleotide long non-coding RNA. RefSeq lists it as uncharacterized. The transcript has 5 exons. NCBI's taxonomy places the organism in Eukaryota, Metazoa, Arthropoda, Insecta, Lepidoptera, Bombycidae. The record is from RefSeq and is a predicted model, not a curated record.